CCUACGGGAGGCAGCAGUAGGGAAUCUUCCACAAUGGGCGAAAGACUGAAGGAGCAAAGCCGCGUGGGUGAGGAAGGUCCACGGAUCGUAAAACCCUGUUGUUCGAGAAGAAAGGGCGGGAGAGUAACUGUUGACUAGUCGACGGUAUCUAACCAGAUAGGCACAGCUCACUACGUGAGAGCAGGUGCGGUAAGGCGGAGGGGGCAAGCGUUGUCCGGAUUUAUUGGGCGUAAGGGGAGCUCAGGCGGUCUGUUAAGUCUGAUGUGAAAGCCUUCGGCUUAACCGGAGUAGUGCCUUGGAAACUGGGAGACUUGAGUGCAGAAGAGGAGAGUGGAACUCCAUGUGUAGCGGUGAAAUGCGUAGAUAUAUGGAAGAACACCAGUGGCGAAGGC
Molecule: ribosomal RNA, 392 nt
Filed under: uncultured bacterium
Lineage: Bacteria
Description: partial 16S ribosomal RNA
Rfam family: Bacterial small subunit ribosomal RNA
Source: RNAcentral